UGGAGGGGGUGAGAAAUGAUAAAUUAAACAAAUUGUGCAAUAAGGGAAGCUAAAUGUAGUCUUUUGCAGUAUAUAAGUCACAGUCUGCUGUGGUGUGUCUAGGGCUACACAAACACAUUUAACUCCAAAAUGGGAAAGUACUGGGCAGUUAAGGUGCUGUAGUGUGGGUAAGGUGAUGUUGUGGGGUAUAAGGGCACUAGUGUGGAAU
Molecule: non-coding RNA, 208 nt
Organism: Pelobates cultripes (western spadefoot toad)
Lineage: Eukaryota; Metazoa; Chordata; Amphibia; Anura; Pelobatidae
Source: the annotation of a GenBank genome assembly